AUUGAACGCUGGCGGCAGGCCUAAUACAUGCAAGUCGAACGGUAACAGAAAGCAGCUUGCUGCUUUGCUGACGAGUGGCGGACGGGUGAGUAAUGUCUUGGAAACUGCCUGAUGGAGGGGGAUAACUACUGGAAACGGUAGCUAAUACCGCAUAACGUCGCAAGACCAAAGAGGGGGACCUUCGGGCCUCUUGCCAUCGGAUGUGCCCAGAUGGGAUUAUCUAGUAGGUGGGGUAACGGCUCACCUAGGCGACGAUCCCUACCUGGUCUGAGAGGAUGACCAGCCACACGGGAACUGAGACACGGUCCAGACUCCUACGGGAGGCAGCAGUGGGGAAUAUUGCACAAUGGGCGCAAGCCUGAUGCAGCAAUGCCGCGUGUAUGAAGAAGGCCUUCGGGUUGUAAAGUACUUUCAGCGGGGAGGAAGGGAGUAAAGUUAAUACCUUUGCUCAUUGACGUUACCCGCAGAAGAAGCACCGGCUAACUCCGUG
Molecule: ribosomal RNA, 490 nt
Filed under: uncultured bacterium
Lineage: Bacteria
Description: partial 16S ribosomal RNA
Rfam family: Bacterial small subunit ribosomal RNA
Source: RNAcentral